GAACAUGCAUGGUUGAACAAAUACAGCACAGCUAUAACAUCUACUUGUAUCUUGUAGUUAAUGAUUCAAGACUGUCCUAAGUUCAAAUAUCCAGGUCAGCCAAAACAAGGUCCUCUAGGCCAUGUAUACAAGCUUGAUUAUUAUGAUAAUUCCUACUAAAGGCUUAAGAUUCAUUUUUCUUUGUAUAAAUUCUUCCCUCCAAAAUGAAAAGGAUGCAGAAAUUCCUAUACAUGAGUGGUAAAUCAACAUCAUCAUUUAAUAUAUUCUAUGUUACAGCUCAUUUUAAUCACCAAUACGGUAUAUACGCUCUGAUAUUUAAAUUUAUAGACAAAUUCGUAUCUCCAUAAAGUUUGAUAUUUAAAUUAAUGGACAAGAUACAUGUCUCCAUAAUAUAUGGAGUUAUGUGCUUUAAAAAUUUAAAUGAUAAGAGACUAAAAAAAUACAAAUGUACUCAUGUAAUCAGAAGAAUUGAAACUGGAAUUCCAAAACUAAAAGAUGAAUUUCAAGAAUGUUAAAAAAUAAAGCUAUUAUCAUUUGAAUAAAGAAAAGAUACUUGAAAAAUAAUACCAAUAAUAGUAACAGAUUUUUACUAAGACCUAUAUAUAGCACCCA
Molecule: long non-coding RNA, 612 nt
Filed under: Elaeis guineensis (African oil palm)
Lineage: Eukaryota; Viridiplantae; Streptophyta; Magnoliopsida; Arecales; Arecaceae
Description: long non-coding RNA (EGUI_LNC028639)
Source: RNAcentral